RNAcentral lists this long non-coding RNA (483 nucleotides) under Androctonus crassicauda. The record is from RNAcentral. Lineage: Eukaryota; Metazoa; Arthropoda; Arachnida; Scorpiones; Buthidae.
ACUUUAGUCACGCAACAAUUUUGCCACUUUCAUCAAGAGCUAUUGCAGGUAAUGUAGAUGUGGACAUGUGGAGAUGUGACAGUAAGGUGACUUUAUUGUUCCUUGGGCAGGGAACUUUCCAGUGACAAAACUAUCACUGUGUCUAUGAAGAUCAUUGUAAUUUCUCACAUUGACUCAGUGACAAACUGUUGCCUAUCAGACAAGAAUGUGUUUAAAAACGAAAUGGCUGCUGUCUCUGAAGCAACAGGUGAGGAAAAGAUCAAUAAUAAUGACCUAAUAGAAGAAAUAGAAAUAAGAGCUUUCUCAUAUAAGAACUCAAAGAAUAUUUAUUGCCAUUUUAAAGAAACACCUAUGGCAAGAAAUUUGCGAAAAAUUGUUUCCUGUAAAUGGGAAAGAUUGAUAGAGCAACAACAAAUAAAAACAAGUACAUUUGUCUAUUAAUAAGAUUUUUUAUUAUGAAAAUAUACAUAAUUAAGUAAUAAC